Molecule: ribosomal RNA, 435 nt
Filed under: Tuber lauryi
Lineage: Eukaryota; Fungi; Ascomycota; Pezizomycetes; Pezizales; Tuberaceae
Description: eukaryotic LSU rRNA
Rfam family: Eukaryotic large subunit ribosomal RNA
Source: RNAcentral
AGGGAUUGCCUUAGUAACGGCGAGUGAAGCGGCAAAAGCUCAAAUUUGAAAUCUAACGCCUCUGGUGUUCGAGUUGUAAUUUGGAGAGGCAUCUUCCGGAGGGGCCCAGCCUAUGUGCCUUGGAACAGGACGUCAUAGAGGGUGAGAAUCCCGUUCUUGGCUGGAUGUUCCCUCCUUUAUGUAGUGUCUUCUACGAGUCGAGUUGUUUGGGAAUGCAGCUCAAAAUGGGUGGUAAAUUUCAUCUAAAGCUAAAUACUGGCGAGAGACCGAUAGCGCACAAGUAGAGUGAUCGAAAGAUGAAAAGCACUUUGAAAAUAGAGUCAAAAAGUACGUGAAAUUGUUGAAAGGGAAGCGCUUGAGACCAGAGUCAGCCUUUGGCAAACAAUUGUCCUUUGGGGCGGUGCACUUGUCAUUGGUUGGGCCAGCAUCGAUUAG